Molecule: ribosomal RNA, 433 nt
Filed under: uncultured bacterium
Lineage: Bacteria
Description: partial 16S ribosomal RNA
Rfam family: Bacterial small subunit ribosomal RNA
Source: RNAcentral
AACGAACGCUGGCGGCAUGCCUAACACAUGCAAGUCGAACGAGACCAUCGGGACUAGUGGCGCACGGGUGCGUAACGCGUGGGAACCUGCCCUUAGGUUCGGAAUAACUCUCCGACAGGGGUGCCAAUACCGGAUAAUGUCUUCGGACCAAAGAUUUAUCGCCUUUGGAUGGGCCCGCGUUGGAUUAGCUAGUUGGUAGGGUAAAAGCUUACCAAGGCGACGAUCCAUAGCUGGUCAGAGAGGAUGAUCAGCCACACUGGGACUGAGACACGGCCCAGACUCCUACGGGAGGCAGCAAUGGGGGAUAUUGGAAAAUGGCCGGAAGCCUGAUGCAGCAAUGCCGCGUGAGUGAUGAAGGCAGUAAGGUUGUAAAGCUCUUUUACCCGGGAUGAUAAUGACAGUACCGGGAGAAUAAGCCCCGGCUAACUCCGUG